ACUCUCAUACUGGUCCCAGUGCCAUCCAUGUACCAUCCCCAUACUGGUCCCAGUGCCAUCCAUGUACCAGCCCCAUACUGGUCCCAGUGCCUCCCUUAUUCUGGUCCCAGUGCCACCCAUGCACCAGCCCCACACCAGCCCCAUACUGGUCCCAGUGCCACUCCCACACUGGUCCCAGUGCCAUCAUUAUU
RNAcentral lists this long non-coding RNA (191 nucleotides) under Numida meleagris (helmeted guineafowl). RNAcentral's name for it is "lncRNA (ENSNMEG00000003905.1)". The record is from RNAcentral. Lineage: Eukaryota; Metazoa; Chordata; Aves; Galliformes; Numididae.